UUUGUUUUUUCCUUUUUUUUU
RNAcentral lists this small RNA (21 nucleotides) under Arabidopsis thaliana (thale cress). Its description in RNAcentral is "ATSL294560". Lineage: Eukaryota; Viridiplantae; Streptophyta; Magnoliopsida; Brassicales; Brassicaceae. The record is from RNAcentral.